Long non-coding RNA from Gasterosteus aculeatus aculeatus (three-spined stickleback), 617 nucleotides. The record is from Ensembl. NCBI's taxonomy places the organism in Eukaryota, Metazoa, Chordata, Actinopteri, Perciformes, Gasterosteidae.
AUCCUUUCCGGGUCGGGUGUCUGUCUGCACAGAGUGGCGACAGAGUGCUCCGUGCCCCGUCCCCCUUUUUGCUCUUGGGUCCUCUCAACCGGUGCGGCUGUAGGCUGGUGGUGGCGCCGGUGGUGUGGGUGGUGGUGGUCUUCUUCGUGUGUCGUGUCCCAUUGGAUUGUUGUGCUAUCACUGGGUGAACUCUGGUUUGGUUUUCUCUAAGUUUGUUCUAUUAAUUUUCCUUCCCCUUCACCGGUGCUUCUCACCAUUAGGCCUUAGCGAUUAGUUUUCUUUUCUUAUUUUGUGAGAAAUGUUAGAUUUUACGGAAAUGUAUAUUUAUUGAAUAAAAAUGUUUUUGUAACCUGGGAACCACGAGCCCUUGCCUGUUGAGUGAAACGAACCCGCGUGCUUUAAAAGGUCUUGGGCCUAUCCCAAGUGGCGUUGCCGGUAGAAUAGGGAACCAUUUCGCCACAAAACUAAAUAUGAUUUUCUCAACGUCUGCUUCAGGGCCAAACAUUUUAACAUAUACUAGUGGAAACAAUUAAAACCGAGUAGGGACUAAAACUAUAGAUGUUUAUUGGACCAUAACAAAUGAAUAAUAACCAAUGUAUACUUAGCAUGUGAUGGAC